This 253-nucleotide ribosomal RNA is filed under the name uncultured bacterium. RNAcentral describes it as "partial 16S ribosomal RNA". It matches the Rfam family "Bacterial small subunit ribosomal RNA", at positions 524 to 776 of the family's 1533-position model. The record is from RNAcentral.
UACGGAGGGUGCAAGCGUUAUCCGGAUUCACUGGGUUUAAAGGGCGCGUAGGCGGGUAUUUAAGUCAGUGGUGAAAUCCUAGAGCUUAACUCUAGAACUGCCAUUGAUACUAUUUAUCUUGAAUAUUGUGGAGGUAAGCGGAAUAUGUCAUGUAGCGGUGAAAUGCUUAGAUAUGACAUAGAACACCUAUUGCGAAGGCAGCUUACUACGCAUAUAUUGACGCUGAGGCACGAAAGCGUGGGGAUCAAACAGG